This 317-nucleotide small nucleolar RNA is filed under the name Candida tropicalis MYA-3404. RNAcentral describes it as "Small nucleolar RNA snR191". It matches the Rfam family "Small nucleolar RNA snR191". Lineage: Eukaryota; Fungi; Ascomycota; Pichiomycetes; Serinales; Debaryomycetaceae. The record is from Rfam by way of RNAcentral.
UCCCAAAGCAUUUAGUCAGGGUGGUAAUGCUGAAGAGUUCAUUUUUGGUGAACUCUUUGUCUAUCUACAUUAUUGCCUGUUACGUCUUUGGGAGAUCAAUACAAUUCGAAACCCGUGAACCCAUUCAAUUUAUUUUGAUUGGAUCUUAUACCGUUUUGGUAUUGAGAUGUAGUUCACAACCCCCCCUGUUGAUAGUUUUUAUCGACAACCCUUUUUUAGAAUUGUUACGGAAUCUUUUUUUGAGUAGAAAUUUAUCCUUUUGUUUGUUUUAUACAUUCAUAUCAAUGGUUUAUUUCAUAGUAUAGAGGCCGACAUUU